RNAcentral lists this ribosomal RNA (381 nucleotides) under Gadilida sp. NHM_132. RNAcentral describes it as "partial 16S ribosomal RNA". It matches the Rfam family "Bacterial large subunit ribosomal RNA", at positions 1953 to 2604 of the family's 2925-position model. The record is from RNAcentral. Lineage: Eukaryota; Metazoa; Mollusca; Scaphopoda; Gadilida.
AAGGUAGCAUAAUCGUUUGCCUUAUAAUUGAAGGCUAGAAUGAAUGGUCAUAUGUAACAAUUACUUUUAUAAAAUAAUUAAAAUUAAAUUUAUCUGCUAGUGAAAAAGCUAGCAUUAUAGUGUCAGACAAGAAGACCCUAGGAGUUUACAUUAUACUAUACUGUAAAAUUUUUAGUUGGGGCAACAAAGUAUAAAUUCAUACUAUUUUCUAAUUUCAAACUUUUAUAUAAAUUUAAUAAAUUACCCUAGGGAUAACAGAAUAAUUUUAAUUUAGAGACCAAAUCAAAAUUAAAGCUUAUUACCUCGAUGUUGGAUUAAGGUGCAGGUGGAAGCAGCCAUUCACCAUUGCUUGUCUGUUCGACAAUAAAACCCUUACGUGAU